RNAcentral lists this ribosomal RNA (915 nucleotides) under uncultured bacterium. RNAcentral describes it as "bacterial SSU rRNA". It matches the Rfam family "Bacterial small subunit ribosomal RNA", at positions 8 to 917 of the family's 1533-position model. The record is from RNAcentral.
AGAGUUUGAUCAUGGCUCAGAUUGAACGCUGGCGGCAGGCUUAACACAUGCAAGUCGAGCGGGGAAAGGUAGCUUGCUACCUGACCUAGCGGCGGACGGGUGAGUAAUGCUUAGGAAUCUGCCUAUUAGUGGGGGACAACAUUCCGAAAGGAAUGCUAAUACCGCAUACGCCCUACGGGGGAAAGCAGGGGAUCUUCGGACCUUGCGCUAAUAGAUGAGCCUAAGUCAGAUUAGCUAGUUGGUGGGGUAAAGGCCUACCAAGGCGACGAUCUGUAGCGGGUCUGAGAGGAUGAUCCGCCACACUGGGACUGAGACACGGCCCAGACUCCUACGGGAGGCAGCAGUGGGGAAUAUUGGACAAUGGGCGAAAGCCUGAUCCAGCCAUGCCGCGUGUGUGAAGAAGGCCUUUUGGUUGUAAAGCACUUUAAGCGAGGAGGAGGCUACUUAGAUUAAUACUCUAGGAUAGUGGACGUUACUCGCAGAAUAAGCACCGGCUAACUCUGUGCCAGCAGCCGCGGUAAUACAGAGGGUGCGAGCGUUAAUCGGAUUUACUGGGCGUAAAGCGUGCGUAGGCGGCUUUUUAAGUCGGAUGUGAAAUCCCUGAGCUUAACUUAGGAAUUGCAUUCGAUACUGGGAAGCUAGAGUAUGGGAGAGGAUGGUAGAAUUCCAGGUGUAGCGGUGAAAUGCGUAGAGAUCUGGAGGAAUACCGAUGGCGAAGGCAGCCAUCUGGCCUAAUACUGACGCUGAGGUACGAAAGCAUGGGGAGCAAACAGGAUUAGAUACCCUGGUAGUCCAUGCCGUAAACGAUGUCUACUAGCCGUUGGGGCCUUUGAGGCUUUAGUGGCGCAGCUAACGCGAUAAGUAGACCGCCUGGGGAGUACGGUCGCAAGACUAAAACUCAAAUGAAUUGACGGG